UAGCUCAGUUGGUAGAGCGCUCCACUUGAAAUGGAGAGGUCCCGGGUUCGAUACCUGG
Molecule: transfer RNA, 58 nt
Filed under: Ixodes scapularis (black-legged tick)
Lineage: Eukaryota; Metazoa; Arthropoda; Arachnida; Ixodida; Ixodidae
Rfam family: tRNA
About the family: Transfer RNA (tRNA) molecules are approximately 80 nucleotides in length.
Source: Rfam by way of RNAcentral